Long non-coding RNA from Crotalus tigris (Tiger rattlesnake), 3205 nucleotides. RefSeq lists it as uncharacterized. Lineage: Eukaryota; Metazoa; Chordata; Lepidosauria; Squamata; Viperidae. The transcript is spliced from 2 exons. The record is from RefSeq and is a predicted model, not a curated record.
CUUUAAUUAUGGCCGUCGUCUGAAAGAGAGCCCAGUUGAGUUCACUAGGAGGCCUUUGAUCAAGGACUUCGGCUAACACAAUGGGAGCAAAUUGAGCAGCUAUGGAAGAUCCAAAUGGAAUAAAUCACAUUAGAGUCCUUUUUUUAUUCAGGUAUUAUUGAACCUUCUUUAUUGUAUUAACCCCAAGACAGAACUGUAAAUGUACAAUGUUAGGGCUGGAAGGAACCUUGAGGUCUUUUAAUCAAUCUUUUUUUUUUUUUUUUGCAAUGCAGGAAUUCUGCCCUGGACAAAUGGCUGUUUAAUCUUUUCUUGAAUAAUGAUGGCGCACUCCCUAAGAUCAGAACAUCUUCUUUCUCAUCUAUUAAACCUUCCUUUUCUUAAUUUUCAAAAUAUGCAUCUUUUCUCUUCAUUUCCUCUAUUAAUUUAUGCUUUUUACCAUCUUUUCAUCUUACAUUUUGUCAGUCUUUCAUAUACUACGAUCACCAUUAGAUGAAUCCACAAAUAUUAACUUCUGCUGCCUAUCAUAGUUUUAGGCAAUUGAAAAUUUUAUCUACUGCUUUUUAUUAAGAGGUCUCUCUAUGUGCACAGUGUGUUGGAGGAAGUGCCUUUACACUGAAUUUCUAGAGUUGCUUUAGAAAAUAUCUCCAUGUUGAAUUAAAAAGAACAGAAUAAAAUAAAUAUCCAAGUAAUAAACAAGAUUUCUGGGAACAAAUCCUUUCAUAGUUUCAGUUUUAGAAUGCAUACUGGAAUUCUCCUUGGAAUCUGAGAAAAAAAUCUUUAUCUCCUUUUACCAUCAGUUGCUAUCCACGUAGAAAAAAAUACAGUUUUUUUAUCAUGAGAGAAUUAACUAAAGCAAGAAUAAAAAGGCAUCUUUCCUGUUUGAGCCAUGGUUAUUAGAAUAAUUUCUAAUGAACAAAAGAACGUGGUCUUUAUAUUCUUGAUGAAAUGGUCACACAAGAUGUGAUGGUCACACCCCAAGAACCUAUCUCUAACAUGUGCAAAAAAUUCAUAAUAUUCCAGAGAGGUUCAUUCAUCCUGUUUACAUAGAAAUGCCUUCUAUAAAAGAUUUUCAUGUUCUAUGAUGCAAAUCCAUCUUUUAUGAGUUGAUGCAAAAAUAUGAUGAUCCAGAGAAAAUAUAUAGCUGAUGAGAUUGCAAGUGAAGGCACAAAAGGCUAUUUUUGAUUUUCUAUCAGUUCAGUUAUGGAAUUAAAUGCAGGUAUUGUAUAACAAGAGCACUUCAACAAGAUAGACUGGAAAUACAAGAAUUUACUUAUUUAUUAAAUGUAUGUUCAUGUUGUUAUUCAGAUAAAAAUCCCUCAGUGCAACUAGUAAAUCCGAAAGAACAGUAUUAUAUAAAUAAACAUCAAGAGCAUCCUUCAAAAGCUACAAAAGAGGUUAAAUAAAACAAAGCUGGAUCAGAACAAUAUAAAAAUCUACAAUUAAAAUGUGUGGAACAAUAAAAAGAUAUUUAUCAGAGCUCUGCCACUAAUGACAUUUGACAACGGUAAGAAAACUAUUUGAUGGGUUGCCUUCCCUCCUGUAGCAGAACUACAACAUUAUGACUGGAAAUACACAGUUCCAUUUUCACAUUGUUACACACGAUGUCCAAGUUUGGAUAUAACCCAUCUCGAGCCUAUCUUACUUCAACUGGCAGGCAUUAUCCAAGGAAGAUCUCAGAAAUCAGAGAAGUUUAUAUAGAAAUUAUAAGUCCUUAAAGUUAUCUGGUCCAAAAAGGAUAGAGGUAGAGGAUUCUAAUGCUCAAAAUCAGCACUUUGAGUAGAAAAAACUGUAUGAAAGUACAGCUCUUCUCAGAAGUGUAAGAAGUGAUCCAAUUUUUCACUAUUGUUUGUGAACUAGCCCCCUCACAACUUACUUUAAAUACCUGAAACUACUAUCAAUGGCUCUCUAAAAUCUGACAGAAAUACAGUAUAAUUCCUAUCAGCUGCACCUCUGCUUUUUCUUGCAGAAAUGUAGGUGAUUGAAGUUGAGACCUUUGAUAUUCAUAAUAUAUAUUCAAUUUCUAAAAUAUGGUCCAUUCAUUUUGAAUUUUUCUAUAGUAAUCUACUUCUGAGGUGACUAGAGUUCACGUAGUCCUUUUUAAAUGACCACAAUUGGGAUCAGCAACUUGGUCAUUAAGUGAAGAUGUCAGUAAAUGAAACCACAUCUCUGCUUAUGAUCUUAUUUCAACUGUCUUUUGCUUUACAGACUGAAAAUUGUAAAUGUGAGGACUGAUAGCAAAGUUACUUUUUCAUCACCAUUGUAACUGUGAACAGUUGCUAAACAAGGCAGUCACUAAAUAAGGAUUACCUGUAGUACUAAUUCUAGUCAAAUCAUAUCUAUUCAGAAAAAGUUGCAAAUAGUUUAAAUUUUAUCUUAUGAAAAUAAGUUGGGGGUACAGAGACCACUGGCUUUCAAGAGAUAAGCUGGUCCUAAGUAGACAUGCCUGAUCUUUAAAAGGAGCAUUUGUUUUUCUAAAUUAAACACUCUCCAUGAUGUUUGAGUGAUGCACACAAACAAUGGAAAAACUUCCAUUAACUUCUAUGAAUUCUAUGAUUAUCAAAGGCCAAUUUUGUCAGGUCAGUUUUUGCUAUUAAGAUCUUGACUCUGAUGUUAUCACUAAACAGUAGCACAUAAACAUAUACAAAUGGAUAAAUCAAACAGAACAUAUGAGUAUCCUGCUAGUCAGAUCAGAGACAUCUCAAGUCCAACACUGUACUCCCAAUAGUACUCAACUGAACGCUUUUGAGAUGCUCCAAGCUUGGUAUGACUCUCUGUCAAUAUAAAUCUGCCUUGUGUCCUUUUAUCCCAUCUGUUAGCCAUGUUUACAGCAAGUGACAAUGCCUAAUCAAACAUACCUGAUUCUUAAAAAAACCAAGCAGGGUCAAUCUUGCUUAGUAUGUGAAGGGAGACCACCAAGUAAAUGCCAAGACUGUGCACUUGAUUGGAAAGUUAAAGGACCAUAUCAGAAGAAGACAGCUUCCAUAUUGUUAACAAGAAAACAAUACAAUGUAAAUGUAUCCUAUAAUCAGAGCUGACCUCACCCGACUGUAGUUGGCAGCCAUAAACCAGGGAAGCAAAUUAGCAACAGCAAUACACUUAGACUUAUAUACUGCUCCACAGUGCUUCACAGCACUCUCUGGCAGUUUAUAAUGUCAGCACAUUGCCCCCUACAAUCUGGGUCCUUGUUUUACCAACCUCGGAAGAA